UGAACGGUGACAUUUCCCUCCUUCUCUGCAGGAUGUGCUGUAAGGAUUUCCAGGAGCAGUUUUCAUGGCUGUACAUAUGUAACAACACCCCAACAUUCCUGGACUUUGGAGAUGAGCACGGCACAGCAGCGUGGUCUCUGACCAGCUACACCAACCUGUGGAGCCCGGGCCUUCCCUCCAGGAGGAGCCGCUAUUCCCGGGGAGAACUCCAGAGUUCUGGAGCAAACCUUUCUCCAGGCUCGAGAUGUGACCAGCUGCCUGACCCUGAGCCCAGGAACCUACGCCGUGGUUCCUGCUGCAGCAGAGGAUCAGGAAUUCCAAUUUCUCCUAAGGAUUUUCAUAAAGAAUCAGGACUACCAUGAGUAAGAUGAUGCACACUCCUUAAAGGCCCCAGAGCCAGAGAGUGCCAG
RNAcentral lists this long non-coding RNA (410 nucleotides) under Zonotrichia albicollis (white-throated sparrow). RNAcentral describes it as "lncRNA (ENSZALG00000006374.1)". Lineage: Eukaryota; Metazoa; Chordata; Aves; Passeriformes; Passerellidae. The record is from RNAcentral.